This 292-nucleotide transfer-messenger RNA is filed under the name Acyrthosiphon pisum (pea aphid). Its description in RNAcentral is "transfer-messenger RNA Buchn_aphid_ApiAPS". It matches the Rfam family "transfer-messenger RNA", at positions 1 to 297 of the family's 374-position model. Rfam says of the family: Bacterial tmRNA, also known as 10Sa RNA or SsrA, is named for its dual tRNA and mRNA-like properties. Its role is to liberate the mRNA from a stalled ribosome. Lineage: Eukaryota; Metazoa; Arthropoda; Insecta; Hemiptera; Aphididae. The record is from RNAcentral.
GGGGCUGUUUUUGGAUUUGACAAAAUUAUCAACAAAGUAAAGUGCAUGCCGAGGAACGGUUUGCCUCGAUAAAAGCCGUAAAAAAAUAAUUGCAAAUAAUAAACAAAACUACGCUUUAGCAGCUUAAAAAACUGAAUAAAGCCCUUCCUUCUUAUCCUCCUUCUCUUAGGAUGAGAAAACAGGAAGGUCAGAAAAAGAGAAAAACGUGGAUAUCAAGCUUGACGAUAACACGAAGUAGUUUUUUCAAGCUAUAUACCUAAUAUGUGUUUUUCCAAAUUAGGUAAUGAAUUCA